GCAAACUUGGUCAUUUAGAGGAAGUAAAAGUCGUAACAAGGUUUCCGUAGGUGAACCUGCGGAAGGAUCAUUACCGAGUUAGGGUCUCUCCAGGCCCGACCUCCCAACCCCAUGUUUACUGAACCUUCGUUGCUUCGGCGGACCCGCCUCUGGGCCGCCGGAGGACCGCCCCACGGCGUCCUCUGGCCCGCGUCCGUCGACGGCCAACCUCAAAAACGCUGAAAUAACCGUGUUGUGUGUCUCAGUCCCACGAUUAAAUUAAAGCAAAACUUUCAACAACGGAUCUCUUGGUUCUGGCAUCGAUGAAGAACGCAGC
RNAcentral lists this unclassified non-coding RNA (316 nucleotides) under uncultured fungus. Its description in RNAcentral is "partial contains small subunit ribosomal RNA, internal transcribed spacer 1, and 5.8S ribosomal RNA". The stretch from base 1 to 73 matches the Rfam family "Eukaryotic small subunit ribosomal RNA", at positions 1759 to 1831 of the family's 1831-position model. Lineage: Eukaryota; Fungi. The record is from RNAcentral.